RNAcentral lists this ribosomal RNA (483 nucleotides) under uncultured bacterium. RNAcentral describes it as "partial 16S ribosomal RNA". It matches the Rfam family "Bacterial small subunit ribosomal RNA", at positions 30 to 507 of the family's 1533-position model. The record is from RNAcentral.
AUUGAACGCUGGCGGAAUGCUUUACACAUGCAAGUCGAACGAUGAACCUUAGCUUGCUAAGGGGAUUAGUGGCGAACGGGUGAGUAAUAUAUCGGAACGUGCCUUGUAAUGGGGGAUAACUAGUCGAAAGAUUAGCUAAUACCGCAUACGCCCUGAGGGGAAAGUAGGGGAUCUUCGGACCUUACGUUAUAAGAGCGGCCGAUAUCUGAUUAGCUAGUUGGUGGGGUAAUGGCCUACCAAGGCGACGAUCAGUAGCUGGUCUGAGAGGACGACCAGCCACACUGGAACUGAGACACGGUCCAGACUCCUACGGGAGGCAGCAGUGGGGAAUUUUGGACAAUGGGCGCAAGCCUGAUCCAGCCAUUCCGCGUGAGUGAAGAAGGCCUUCGGGUUGUAAAGCUCUUCCGCAAGGGAAGAAAACUUACCAUCGAAUAAAUGGUGAGGCUGACGGUACCUUGAUAAGAAGCACCGGCUAACUACGUG